UACAGGGGGGCAAGCGUUGUUCGGAAUUACUGGGCGUAAAGGGCUCGUAGGCGGCCAACUAAGUCACACGUGAAAUCCCCAGGCUUAACCUGGGAACUGCGUGUGAUACUGGAUGGCUUGAAUCCGGGAGAGGGAUGCGGAAUUCCAGGUGUAGCGGUGAAAUGCGUAGAUAUCUGGAGGAACACCGGUGGCGAAGGCGGCAUCCUGGACCGGUAUUGACGCUGAGACACGAAAGCCAGGGAGCGAACGGG
This 251-nucleotide ribosomal RNA is filed under the name uncultured bacterium. Its description in RNAcentral is "partial 16S ribosomal RNA". It matches the Rfam family "Bacterial small subunit ribosomal RNA", at positions 524 to 776 of the family's 1533-position model. The record is from RNAcentral.